ACACUUAUUAAUAAGCUAGUAAGUGUUGGACGUGGAUGACCUCCCAUUGAAAGGUCUUAACAAGCCAAUUUCCUAGCACAGCAAUACUUGCUCAAGAUGGUUAGGUCUACAUUUCUGUCCUGAAUUGAUGGACAGACUGUCAAGACUCUGGUAUAAUUGUGUCCUAGAGGUAAGCACAGCUGGGAUCUAGAGAUGGAGAGAAUCAUCAGAAAAGGCACGGCUGCAAGGAAAGUGCUUGUAUUUCUUAUUACUGGGUGUAAUAACUCACUAGAGUUUUGUGUGAUAUUAAUUAUCUGAAAGGCUCAUGCUGCCAAGUAUAUGUGUGGUAUUUUAUGAAGAUGGUAGAAUUUGACCUGACAGUUGAGAUAUUUCCAGAUAAUUAUUUUUCAGAAAUUAUAUUUGAUAAGUUUUUCAGGAAAUAUCCACUAACCAUGAAAGAGAGACGGAAGAGACCAGUAGAGCCCCUGGAGUGUGACACAUCUGGAGUCCCCAAAUGACAGCUAACAUGUUCAGGAGGAAUUGAUAUCAUGAGGGACUUGAGUGAGACUGUACUGACUCAUCCAUCUUCAGAACAUGGAUUAUAUUCCAAACAUCUACUCUGAUUGAACUGCUAAGCAUGAGGAAAAUGUUCUCCACUCUCUGAAAAAAGAACAGAACUAUGCUGUCGCGGAGCUGAUCAAUGGUUUACAGAGUCACAACUAAACCCUCUGCCAAUCUGCUCCUACGAGGACAUCAGGUUCAGCAUCUAUUCUUAUUAAGUCUCUUGGACCAAGAGUCUCCUGGGGAAAAACUUCAUCACCUUAAGAGAAGAACUGCACACUGAUGCACAUUUAUAGACUUUUCAUCCCCACAAGCUUUGUCACAAGUGACAUUGGGUUUUGUCCUUUUGAGAUGAGCAAGCAAUGUUCAAGAUGCAGACAAACUUGGGACUCAUAUGCCUGAAGAUCUCAUUCCUGAAGUUUCUGCCAAGGGAAACUUCUGGUUUGUUACCCAACAAAAGCAGUGGAUUCAUUUAGCUUCUCUGCAGUGACUUUAUCAUCUCUGAGUGCUGCCCGGACUUGCUGCCCAGCCUACCUGGCCGUACACUGCACCUUGCUUCCCAGCCCUCUCCCACGUUGGAUGCAGCAUCCCUCUUUUCUUUAAAAUAUAUAGCAGUUAAUGUUCUCAUUUGAUGUAUGCUUUACAAAAAGUAGUUAUAUUUUUCAUGUAUAAUGCAAGCACUUAAUUGCCUACUAUAUGAAAAGCACAGUCCUGCAAAUGCAUAGGAGAGAUCUUGUCAGAGUAACGAAUAAUUGUCCUCCAGCUCAACAAAUGAUUGAUGGAUCCUUGCUUUCAUUUAAUUCCUGGCCUUUUCCUUAGUGGACUUUGUGCAAUAAAAAUCAGAUUUUGUUUUUUUUAAAUAGUCCCUAAAUGCUGCAUGCACAAAUGUUCUCUAGCUUCUCACUUCAACCCCCUGCUGCUGCUUGGAAAGCUGUGCAGUGCCUGUGGCACAGCCAUCGCAUGCAAUACGUUAAUCAUCAGGGAAGAUGGUGCCAAGAACUAGGUAAUAGCUUUACUAAUAUUUGUGCCAUUAAAGACCAGGAAACAGCAACUGAACUUUAACAAUCUUAUUAAAAUAUAGUUGUCCUAAGAGAGCUCGGUACUCCGGUGUAUGACAGCACAUCAAUUCAAAACACACAGAUGGGCACAAAGUGCACAAAGCGGAGGCUGCUGGUAACUCAGCUCUGCCACCAGGUCAGUUCAGAGGGGUAUUCAGGAGAAGCUCCAGCCACCAGCAGGGGAAGAACGGCACAGUUACGGACCAAGACCAGGCUCUGCUGCUGACCAAGGCUGCAUUUUCACUGUGGAGGACAGAGCUACCUCCACCUGGAAAGCUUCAGCCCAGCAGAGGCUGCUGCAUCCUGCUGCCUGUAGGAAAUGCAAGUCUUGUGCCUGCUGCUACUGUCUUGGUUUUCGGAUGGACUUUUUGAGCUCCACAGUUUCUCGCUGCUGCCUUAUGCUCUGUCAUGUCUUUCUUUCCUCACAGACAUGAUUACUCAUUUUUACAUUUAAUUUGUGAUGUAUUUGGAAAAUGUGGAAAUCUGUACUGUAUUCAUCCACACUGUCAUAUUUAAUGUCCUUGACUAAAUAAAUAGUUUCCAUUUCAUAAUCUAACAUCCUCAUUGUAGAAAACUAAUGGAAUCGCUAGAUCAUUUGUCAAUGGAUAAAUAGAUUUAAUGGCAAAUUGGUACAGACAUAAGUAAUAUAACAAUUUUUACAUGAAUGCAUGUAAAUACAACAAUCUAGAAUUAAUAAAGACUGGCUACACUUGAACAGAAAAGUGUGGGUGGAUGAGAGGGAGAAUCAUAAGGAAAUUAUCAUUUCUUUUGGCAAAAAUCCACAAUUUGUUUUUCAUAUUUGUUCCCUUAAAUUCAUGGCACAGCACAAUUUCAGAUUUUAUAAUUCCCUUUACACUGCCUUUUCACAUGCUAUGACUUCAGAUGGUCACCUCUCCCAUCUCCCAACUAC
Molecule: long non-coding RNA, 2508 nt
Organism: Cygnus olor (mute swan)
Lineage: Eukaryota; Metazoa; Chordata; Aves; Anseriformes; Anatidae
Exons: 5
Source: RefSeq, a predicted model, not a curated record